This 497-nucleotide ribosomal RNA is filed under the name uncultured bacterium. RNAcentral describes it as "partial 16S ribosomal RNA". It matches the Rfam family "Bacterial small subunit ribosomal RNA", at positions 28 to 507 of the family's 1533-position model. The record is from RNAcentral.
GAUGAACGCUGGCGGCGUGCCUAAUACAUGCCAGUCGAGCGAACGGACGAGAAGCUUGCUUCUCUGAUGUUAGCGGCGGUCGGGUGAGUCACACGUGGAUAACCUACCUAUACGACUGGGAUAACUACGGGAAACCGGAGCUAAUACCGGAUAAUAUUUUGAACUGCAUGGUUCAAAAGUGAAAGACGGUCUUGCUGUCACUUAUAGAUUGAUCCGCGCUGCAUUAGCUAGUUGGUAAGGUAACGGCUUACCAAGGCAACGAUGCAUAGCCGACCUGAGAGGGUGAUCGGCCACACUGGAACUGAGACACGGUCCAGACUCCUACGGGAGGCAGCAGUAGGGAAUCUUCCGCAAUGGGCGAAAGCCUGACAGAGCAACGCCGCGUGAGUGAUGAAGGUCUUCGGAUCGUAAAGCUCUGUUAUUAGGGAAGAACAUAUGUGUAAGUAACUGUGCACAUCUUGACGGUACCUAAUCAGAAAGCCACGGCUAACCACGUG